AAAGAAUGAAAUAAUGAAGCAUUAAACAAUGUAUGAGUGUAAGUGCAAAGGAACCGGCUCAUUGUAAGAAAGCCCAAGAGUAAGCUAUGUGAGGUCGAUGGCGAUGCUUAAAAAGCAAUCGACUUACAAGGGUGUAAAAAAUGGGCUCGAUAUUAAAUCGAGAAAAAUAUGAUUUUUAUAGUUUUAAAAUGGUUUUGAAUUAAAUUAAAAUACAACAACUUUACAUUAUUAACAAAAUGAACAUAUGAGUGUAAUAAAGUCAUAAACAUAAAAAGAAACGAAAAUGCUAAAAGAAAAAAUAAUAUAGCUAAAAGAAAUAAAAUGCCAAAAAAUGCCACACAUGAGUAUUAAACCCACCCCACUCAAGAAUAUACACACUGCCCUUCUCCACCAGACCACUUAUGAUCAUCUGCUACUGUGAUACUAUGUUAAAUAUAUAAAUCGAGAUAAAA
This 452-nucleotide long non-coding RNA is filed under the name Lathyrus oleraceus (garden pea). Its description in RNAcentral is "Pisum sativum (pea) long non-coding RNA (PSAT_LNC038868)". Lineage: Eukaryota; Viridiplantae; Streptophyta; Magnoliopsida; Fabales; Fabaceae. The record is from RNAcentral.